RNAcentral lists this long non-coding RNA (1074 nucleotides) under Numida meleagris (helmeted guineafowl). RNAcentral describes it as "lncRNA (ENSNMEG00000002348.1)". Lineage: Eukaryota; Metazoa; Chordata; Aves; Galliformes; Numididae. The record is from RNAcentral.
GUGUAGCCCCACUCCAGGUGUAGCCUUGCUCCAGGUGUAGCCUUGCUCCGGGUGUAGCCUUGCUCCAGGUGUAGCCGUGCUCCGCGUAUAACCCUGCUCCGGGUCUAGCCCUCCUCCAGGUGUAGCCGUGCUCCGGUUGUAUCCGUGCUCCGGUUGUUGUCGCGGCGCUGACGCUGCCCCCCCCCCCCCCCCCCAAGAUGCGGCGCCUGAUCACGCGUGGCGAGUGGCAGUCGGAGCAGCAGGACACCAUGAAAACCGGCUCCUCCACCAACAACAACGAGGAGGAGAAGUCGCGCCUCCUCGAGAAGGAGAACCGCGAGCUCGAGCGCAUCAUCGCCGAGGUGCGGGGGCCGCCCCAUAGCGCGCCUCAGGCUGCCCCAUAGCGCGGGUUGGGCCGCCCCAUGGCGGGGGUUGGGCCGCCUCAUAGCGGGGAUAGGGUUGCCUCAUAGCAGGGCUUGGGCUGCCCCAUAGCACACCUUGGGCUGCCCCAUAGUGGGGGUUGGGCUGCCCCACAGAGAUGGUGGGUCGCCCCAUAGCGCGGGUUGGGCUGCCCCAUAGCGGGGUCAGGACGCCCCAUAGAGGCACAGGGCUGCCCCAUAGAGGGGGUGGGACACCCCACAGAGCUUCAGGACACCCCAUAGCGGGGUCAGGACGCCCCAUAGAGGUAGUGGGGCACCCCAUAGAGGGGUCAGGACGCCCCAUAGCGGGGUCAGGAUGCCCCAUAGAGGGGUCAGGAUGCCCCAUAGAGGGGGUGGGACACCCCACAGAGCUUUAGGACGCCCCAUAGCGGGGUCAGGACGCCCCAUAGAGGGGGUGGGAUGCCCCAUAGAGGCCAUGGGACACCCCACAGAGGUUCAGGACGCCCCAUAGAGAAAACAGGACGCCCCAUAGAGGGGAUGGGUCACCCCACAGAGCUUCAGGACACCCCAUAGAGGAGGUGGGAUGCCCCAUAGAGGGGAUGGCUCACCCCAUAGCAGGGUCAGGACGCCCCAUAGAGGGGAUGGCUCACCCCAUAGCAAUUCAGGGGCACCCCACAGAGCUUCAGGACGCCCCAUAGAGAAAACAGGACGCCCC